AAAACUAACAAGGAUUCCCCUAGUAACGGCGAGUGAAGCGGGAAGAGCUCAAAUUUGAAAUCUCACCUCUGGUGCGAAUUGUAGUUUAGAGAAGCGUUUUCGGGCUGACCAGUAGGUACAAGUUCAUUGGAACAUGACAUCAUAGAGGGUGAAAAUCCCGUCUUUGACCUAUUGGCUCAGUCCAUAUGAUACGUUUUCCAAGAGUCGGUUUGUUUGGGAAUGCAGACCAAAAUGGGUGGUAAAUACCAUCUAAAGCUAAAUAUUGGCGAGAGACCGAUAGCGAACAAGUACCGUGAGGGAAAGAUGAAAAGAACUUUGAAAAGAGAGUUAAACAGUACGUGAAAUUGUCAAAAGGGAAACGCUUGAAACCAGUAUUGCAUGCCGAAAUUUAGCUGUGAUUUAUUGCAGUGUCCUUUUCGGUUUGCGAGUCAACAUCAGUUUGGCCUGGAGUAAAAAGCGCAAGGAAGGUGGCCCUCUGGGUGUUAUAGCCUUGCGUCAUGCUCUGGGCUGGACUGAGGUCUGCAGCUUUGCUUAGGAUGUUGACGAAAUGGUUUUAAACGACCCGUCUUGAAACACGGACCAAGGAGUCUAACAUAUAUGCGAGUAUUUGGGUGGCAAACCCUUUUGCGCAAUGAAAGUGAAAAGGUGGGAUCCUUUUAGGUGCACCAUCGACCGCGCCAGAUUAUUACUAUCUCGGCGUGAGUAUGAGCAUACAUGUUGGGACCCGAAAGAUGGUGAACUAUACCUGAAUAGGGUGAAGCCAGAGGAAACUCUGGUGGAGGCUCGUAGCGGUUCUGACGUGCAAAUCGAUCGUCAAAUUUGGGUAUAGGGGCGAAAGACUAAUCGAACUCUU
This 853-nucleotide ribosomal RNA is filed under the name Protrudomyces lateralis. RNAcentral describes it as "eukaryotic LSU rRNA". It matches the Rfam family "Eukaryotic large subunit ribosomal RNA", at positions 61 to 944 of the family's 3401-position model. The record is from RNAcentral. Lineage: Eukaryota; Fungi; Chytridiomycota; Chytridiomycetes; Rhizophydiales; Protrudomycetaceae.